Erinaceus europaeus (western European hedgehog) is the source of this 290-nucleotide unclassified non-coding RNA. Its record names the gene 7SK. It matches the Rfam family "7SK RNA". Rfam says of the family: 7SK was discovered as an abundant small nuclear RNA in the mid-70s but a possible function has only recently been suggested. Two independent studies have found that 7SK RNA binds the CDK9/cyclin T complex (known as elongation factor P-TEFb). NCBI's taxonomy places the organism in Eukaryota, Metazoa, Chordata, Mammalia, Eulipotyphla, Erinaceidae. The record is from Ensembl.
GGAUGUUAGGGCAAUCUGGAUGUAACAUCUGUCACCCCACUGAUCUCCCGGGUAGAUCUGGCUGAGCUUUCUCCCUCAGUGCUUCAUGUGUGUUCCUCCCAAAGCCACAUACUCAGUAGAAGAGGAUCACCUUCUCUGAAUAGAGUUGGACUGGUCUUCAGUAUGUAUAUGAGUAACUAUGCUCCCUGUUAGAACCUACAAACCAAUUCUCAACUGAGGCAAGGUAGGGGGAGGUGGUGGUGGAGAGAUGCAGGCAAAUUCAACUGAGGGCCCACAGAGGAACUUUAAUU